This 239-nucleotide long non-coding RNA is filed under the name Elaeis guineensis (African oil palm). RNAcentral's name for it is "long non-coding RNA (EGUI_LNC016385)". The record is from RNAcentral. Lineage: Eukaryota; Viridiplantae; Streptophyta; Magnoliopsida; Arecales; Arecaceae.
CGGUCGGAAGAAGUCUGGAAGGGAUUCAAAAAAUAGUUGAUCACUAUAAAAGGUCGGCUGAUAGUGAAGCCCAAAGAGCUUUUGGAGCGGCCCGGUAGAUGAAUGGAGAAGCUCAUUAUCGGAGAAGUCCGAAUAGAAUUCUGAAAGCUCGGACGGUCGAGGGAGUUCAAAAAGACGCCACACAAGGUCGGACAUCGGAAAAGCCCUGGAAGGGUCGGUCUUUUGCAAACUUCGGCUGG